Unclassified non-coding RNA from Propithecus coquereli (Coquerel's sifaka), 102 nucleotides. It matches the Rfam family "Y RNA". From Rfam's summary of the family: Y RNAs are components of the Ro ribonucleoprotein particle (Ro RNP), in association with Ro60 and La proteins. The Y RNAs and Ro60 and La proteins are well conserved, but the function of the Ro RNP is not known. In humans the RNA component can be one of four small RNAs -- hY1, hY3, hY4 and hY5. The record is from Ensembl. Lineage: Eukaryota; Metazoa; Chordata; Mammalia; Primates; Indriidae.
CGUUGGUCCGAGUGCAGUGGUGUUUACGACUAAUGAAUCACAACCAGUUAUAGAUUCCUUUGUUCCUUCUCCACUCCCACCGCUUCACUUGACCAGCCUAAA